ACCAGACGCCCCCCGCAACAGUAGCUACUCUCAAUUUUCAUUCAACUAAGAACAAGAAUUAAUGUUUUAUUUUACCUUUGUUUAUUCCUUCUCUGAGGUACUUUCUUCAUGGAGAUUAAAGUUUCUAACCUAUAUAGUUUUAUUUCUGCCUGAAAAUUUUCUUUUAACGUUUCUUACAGGGUCUGCUAACAAAUUCCUUGUUUUUGUUUGAGAAAAUACAUUUCACCUUCACUUUCGGGGAAUAAUUUCACUAUAUGUGGAAUACUCCAGCCCUGGCUAGUGCAUAGAUCGGCUAAUCCUACACCAACGGAAAAGCCACAUGGUGAGAAGAGUUUCUGAGGUGUUUCCAGGUAGGAAGGCUGCUCUGGCCCACAGGACAACGUCUGAGGAGUGGCCAUGUUAAGGGAGCAGUUUCCUACACAGCGCAGCGUGGGGCCACACUUAAGCCCCCCACUGGGGCUGGGGCAGGAGCGGCUGGGAGACCCUUCAAGCCUCAGACGGCACCGACAUGGGCCUGAGAAAGGCCCCGGGGACAAGCAUGGGAACGAUCUGGGCACCAGAGCAACUCCCAGGCCCCGCUCUCAUCCCUGCCCUCACACCUGCAGCGCCCAGCCCUGUGUGCCCAGGCCGCGGGCCACGGGACGGCACUUGUGGGCGUGGGGAGUCUGUGUCAGCAGCAGCGAGCAGACCGCACGUAGCGCGGAAAGGGCUCAGGCGGUGUUUGUGGACACAGUGGCUCCGGCCGGAGCUGAGAGAAACGAGGGUCCACACGGGAACUGAUCCAACUGUGAAGGGCUGAAGGAGCUUCA
Long non-coding RNA from Lynx canadensis (Canada lynx), 809 nucleotides. RefSeq lists it as uncharacterized. NCBI's taxonomy places the organism in Eukaryota, Metazoa, Chordata, Mammalia, Carnivora, Felidae. The transcript has 2 exons. The record is from RefSeq and is a predicted model, not a curated record.